RNAcentral lists this ribosomal RNA (534 nucleotides) under Fusarium sp. JJP-2009a. Its description in RNAcentral is "eukaryotic LSU rRNA". The stretch from base 214 to 367 matches the Rfam family "5.8S ribosomal RNA". The record is from RNAcentral. Lineage: Eukaryota; Fungi; Ascomycota; Sordariomycetes; Hypocreales; Nectriaceae.
GGUCAUUUAGAGGAAGUAAAAGUCGUAACAAGGUCUCCGUUGGUGAACCAGCGGAGGGAUCAUUACCGAGUUUACAACUCCCAAACCCCUGUGAACAUACCAAUUGUUGCCUCGGCGGAUCAGCCCGCUCCCGGUAAAACGGGACGGCCCGCCAGAGGACCCCUAAACUCUGUUUCUAUAUGUAACUUCUGAGUAAAACCAUAAAUAAAUCAAAACUUUCAACAACGGAUCUCUUGGUUCUGGCAUCGAUGAAGAACGCAGCAAAAUGCGAUAAGUAAUGUGAAUUGCAGAAUUCAGUGAAUCAUCGAAUCUUUGAACGCACAUUGCGCCCGCCAGUAUUCUGGCGGGCAUGCCUGUUCGAGCGUCAUUUCAACCCUCAAGCCCAGCUUGGUGUUGGGACUCGCGAGUCAAAUCGCGUUCCCCAAAUUGAUUGGCGGUCACGUCGAGCUUCCAUAGCGUAGUAGUAAAACCCUCGUUACUGGNAAUCGUCGCGGCCACGCCGUUAAACCCCAACUUCUGAAUGUUGACCUCGNA